RNAcentral lists this non-coding RNA (71 nucleotides) under human gut metagenome. RNAcentral's name for it is "TPP riboswitch (THI element)". It matches the Rfam family "TPP riboswitch aptamer (THI element)", at positions 10 to 89 of the family's 105-position model. From Rfam's summary of the family: Vitamin B(1) in its active form thiamin pyrophosphate (TPP) is an essential coenzyme that is synthesised by coupling of pyrimidine and thiazole moieties in bacteria. The previously detected thiamin-regulatory element, thi box was extended, resulting in a new, highly conserved RNA secondary structure, the THI element, which is widely distributed in eubacteria and also occurs in some archaea. The record is from RNAcentral.
AAGGGGUGCCAUGCGGCUGAGAUUAUACCCUAUGAACCUGAACCGGGUAAUUCCGGCGGAGGGAUUGUUAA